CCUGAUAAUGAAGUCACAUGGGGCCAGGAGUUGGGUGACUUUGUCCUGAGCCACAGAGUUCACAAGGUCUCCAUGACAAAGGCUCUGCCAACAUGGAAAACAUCUGUAGAACCAACAGCUCGAGGAAUGGAUUGACCAUCGAGGCUCAUUGGGUGUAUUUCCAGUCAAAAUCAGUGCCUCAGGCCUUGGCCCCAGGAGGUCUGCAAUGAGAGCCAGGUGGAGUCAGUGGCCUGCCAGGACUCUGAGUGUUGUCUUGGCCAUUCCUCUUCUCGUGGCUGGGACACGGUGGGGAUCUGGUCCCUGAAACCUGCUGUGCGGACUGGUCAUUGUGAACUUCCCAGGGUGGCACAGAUGCUGCCUUCCCAGGUGGACAAGAAAAUGACUGCAGUGGCACCCUGCAAGGCCACAUGACUGGUCUGUGACUCUGGCCUGGCCCCAUUUCCAGAAGGUGUUGCCCUAUGGCUGCCCUUGUCUACAAACAGGUAAGGGAAAGAAGCAAUGUGACAUAACAAGGCCAUGAGCGUGGCCUCUAGAUAGUCCAGCUCCUCAGCUUUGAGGCAGCUGAGGCCACGGAGCAGAUGUUUCUGAGGCUGCAAGGCCCCCAGGGCCAAGGGCCUGGGCCCUCCUGAGCCUGUGCCCACCAGGGCUGGCUCCCCUCCUGAGGAAGGUGCUAUGUGUGAGACAUGUCUCUGAGUUGGGGGUCACCCCCACAGCCAGGUUGUGUCCACAGAGAAGCACUGAGACACCAUGGACAGACUGAUUAUCUGCAAACAAUACCCUUCAGAGAUCAAGAAAGUGGACUUUGGAGUAAGUGAGGCUGGCUCUGGUCUGGGCCCCGCUGCUUUCAAGCCGCAUGAUCUUUGACAAAUUGCCAAACCUGCCCAAGACUCGACUUCCUCUUCUGUGAAAUGCAGUACACUGUUCAUCAUAAGGGUUAAAAAAAAAAGAAAAAGAAAAAGAAAUGCAGAUACGACUUAAAUGAAAUGCUUCUGCUCUAGGUGUGGUAUUAAGUGAAAUAAUAGGAUUUUCAAGCUGGCCUCCAGGCAGGGCCCAGGGUUCCAGCUCAGUGGUUAUAAUAUGGACAAACACAUUUUUUCCCCCUUCCAAAAAAAGCGAUUGCAGAUGUUGCCCCUUCUUACUUGAUUUGACCACUCCAGGAUUCUGGCAGACUGUGGCCUUGUGGCUCACACUCCUACCGGUUUUGCUGUAUGUUGGUCCAUGGUGGGAGGCCACACCUGGGCAAGAAGUAGGCCAGCUGUGUGUCAGCAUCUUUCUGGAGACUUGUGACUGGUAACCACAUCUCCCUGGUGGCACAAGUCUGUACCACCCCAGCCAGGUGAGCAUCAGUCAGGAACUGCAGGACCCACAGGCACCGAGAUGAGCAGAUAAGCAUUACUGCACAGGUUUGAGGCUUUCCCAGGACAGUGGGCCGCCUCAGCGCUCUGCCCAGGGAGGCUCAGCAGAAUGCCGGGUUAAAGAAUACAGACACCACCAUUCUUCAACCAGCUGAUUCCGGGCCAUCAAAUGCUGUGUGCAUGUGUGUGCGCAUGCUGACAUCCAUCUGCUCACCAAACAUGGUUCUGUGCUCUCCGGGUACCAGAUUCAUAAAUGAUUCCAAGAGCAUUCCUAGCCUCUCAGAGUGAGAGACUGACUAAUCAAACACCCUAUACAGGGUGGCCAGUGUCGUGCAGAAGCAGUCCCAGGGAGCCCAGCCUGAGGUCAUGUGCACAGGAAGCCAUCCUGCAAGGUCCAUUGACAGGACCUUGGUGGGCAACAUACCAACAGUCUGUUGCCCACCUUGGACCUACCUGGCCAGCACUCACAGGAAAGCAAGCAGCCUGGACUUCUCAACUUCAGGAUCCUGCCUCAAGGGCACACAUGUGAGCUGAGUACUGCAGGAACAGUGUCCACUGUGGCACUGCCCAGGGGAAUGGGGGUAGAGGUGACGCUGUUCCCCGCACCGCCCCCACGCUGCAUAGUUAGAUCCUCCUGUGGGUCAGGAUGGCAGUAGCUCCUAGUGACAUCAAAACGAGGAAGAUGCAGCUUAGUACAGUAGUAGUUGACAGAUGCUGACCUGGCCCAUUCAGAGUCACCGGGUGGCAGAGGUGCCUCAAGGAGGGAACCACAUCUCACCAGGUUCUUUACCUCUACUUGGUAAAGUAAGGGAGGAUUCCUGUUAGUGGAAUCCUAUACUCCACCGGGGUCAAUGUCUUUUCUGGACACCUGACAAGAGGUGUGGAGAGCAGGCUGUGCUCUUCUCGGAGUCUCCCCAGGAUGCACAGGGCAGCAGUUUGUAGGCCACACCUGAACCUUCGUUGCUUCAUUCUGUAAAGCAGUGUAAGCGCUGAGGUGGAAUGACGCCAUGCCUUGUUUGUACAAGUUUUAAAAAAAAAACAAAACAAAACCACCAUCGAUCUGGCACAACCAUAGGCAUAAACUGAUAAUCAGCUAAUAAGAAUGACCUCUCGUGAACUUACCCAAGUAAGCAGAAGCAUAAGAAUACAUGAGUGUAUCAACUCAUAUUGGAAAAAUCAGGCCCAUGAGCUUAUCGAACACACCAGACCACCAGAUUACAUAACCCCCUCACUCAAGACCCCACGAUUGGACACGGUGGCACCUUGACCUUGUUCCCUGGUCACUCAUCAUGAGCCUUACUCAGGAAAAUCACUCUAGCGGCAAACCUCCAAAUCUCUGUCCUUGAGCUUUAGCAGAGUACAAUUUCUUCCGCCCUUGACAAUCAGGGGAGACCCACUCCAAGCUGACAUCUCAAGAUCACUCCAAGCAAACAGUGUGAAACUGCUGCUGUCCAGACCUGGGCCUAGAAUAAGUCUCUGCGCUUUGACAGCUCUACACCCUGAACAGAUUCUUCAGCUGGUUCAUAAUCUUACCUGACCCCCUACAGUGACUCUUCAUAUCUGCUGUCUGCCUUUGCUCUCAGUUCAGCCUUCUGAACCCCUGUGGCUGCCUUUCUAUUACCUAUAUGUAUAUAAUAGUGUAAAGUGUGAGGUGUGUCUUGAGGGUUCCCGAUACUAGAAAUUGAGAUUGGAAUAAAAGACUCUGUAAUCCCUUGGCUGAUGACUAACAGGUGACCACAAGUAUCCAGUGAACUGUCACUGAUGAAAGUGGUGAAGCCUGUGAAUCUAUUGUUAUUCAAUAAAUUCUGACAUUGUGGAAAGACA
Ictidomys tridecemlineatus (thirteen-lined ground squirrel) is the source of this 3179-nucleotide non-coding RNA. The record is from RefSeq and is a predicted model, not a curated record. Lineage: Eukaryota; Metazoa; Chordata; Mammalia; Rodentia; Sciuridae.